CGAUGGGACAAGACUGUCACUAGCAAUUGGAUAUCACGAAAUUGGGGAGAAAAAGGGGUAAAAAGUAAAAUAUAUAUAUAACAUCCGGACAAUAGAAGUUUUGUGUUUUAAACUUCGGAGUAGAUCACCCAUCAAAGGAGUAAUGUAAGGGGUAACGACGGAUGUUCAGGUUCAAUACCUGAAGAGAAUUCCUAGUGUGGUUGGUGCCCGCCGUCAGACCCGCAGGGUGAAUGGAGAAAUAAGAAAAAGGUCUGCCGGCCCACGUAUGUGAAGCUUAGUUUUGUAAGAUACACUGUAAGAGCUUUCAUCCCCAAACCAUUGCAGUGUAAGAAUUGUAAAGGAUUUGGCAAUGUUUCAAGUGUGUGCAGACGGACAGUUUAGUUUAGUUUAUUUAUUAAUUUUCGGAGUUUGCUAGUUUUUUGCUAGUUUGUUCCAUUUUUAGGAAUCCUGUUUCCAUCCCGCACGGUAGUUGAUGGGAUGCACAUUAAAUUGUGCGAUCACCAUAUACCAUAGAAGAAGAAGAAAUGUUUUGAGAAGAAUAAACAUUGUGAAAUGGACGAAAGAGGACAAUGUAUUGGCAGGGCAAAACACUCUUUCCCGACUGGUGUGAGGUCUAUCUACAGGUGACCAGGUGGACCUCUUCACCAGGCAGGCCUUCGCUGCAGUCUUACAUCACCAGCAAAGGUCUAUGAAGAGGUACUUUAUAUUAAGACUGUGCUUCCAACCUGCCGCCUGGAUAUCUCAGCAUCCACGAGGGCAUCAUCAAGCAUUCUGGUCCAGUGAUUAAAUGGGUUGGUGGAGGGAAGCCAUUAUUAGGUGUCAACUCACCUGGUCCCUACUGAGUGUCCACACACAGAGUGAUGGUUCAUAUUGUAGCUCACGAGUAGGGACUGGAACAUCACUUCAGGUCCUAUGUGAAGUUUGUGUUCAAGCCAGAGCCGAACUCAGCCAGUGGGGUCCCUAACCCUCAGAGUGUCCAUGAGGAGCUGGCUAAAGCCAUGACAGCCAACCUCAACCCCUCCACUUACUUCCUCACCAGCAACAAACUGCUACUCAUGGUACUUCGUAGAAGCCCUGGUGAAGUCUAUGGCCCAGCAUAGGACCCAGAGUGGUAAAUUCAACCUGUCUAGCAAACCAAUUUUCUCUGCCUCCUUCCACCACACAGUAGAGAAAAAUGCUGAGGCCUCACAUCAGCAAGAACUACAAGGACAAACUGGACGCUGCCCGAAACGCCAACCACAGUCUGGCAGUCUUGGAGUGCCAUAGACAGCCAACAAAAAAGUUGUUGGUUUCAUUAAAAAAAUUGCCACAUUUAGUUCUAUGGUAAUGCUAUUUUCUUGCUAUGAGGACUGAUGACUUAUUGUAUGCUACACGAAGCAAAAUAAAUACGUGCACCCUAUACUAUCAGGGUAGAUUAUUGGUGUUUCUUGUGCUAUGUAGAAACUAUUUGCUAGUCAUUUAAAUAAAAAAGUAAUAGUAAUUUACACAAUAACAGGGAAACAGAGCAUUGCUUUAGAAUACAGUGUCAAGACCCCAUAGGUACACUGAAACUAUGGGGAAACUGUACAGAAAGUAAGCUACACUGAAACAAUGGUCAUAGUAAUUUACACGGUAACGGGAACAGGGCAUUGCUUUAGAAUACAGUCUCAAGGCCCCGCAGGUACACUGAUACUAUGGGGAAACUAUCCAGGAAGAAACAGUAAGGCACACAAACUGAUGAAAGUAGUAAGGAAUCUAAUAGUAAUUUACAGGGGAACAGAGCGUUGCUUUAUAAUACAGUGUCUUGGCCCCAUAGGUACACUGAAACAAUCUGGUGAAACUACGCCUACGCAUGAAGUAACAAAUAAGGUACAUAAUAUGUACUUAAGUACAGUGCUGAAAUAACUGUAUAAUGAUAGGAAAGUAAUCGGAAACAAGACAAAAGGCAGCUACAAGCAAAGACCUAAAAGGGACGUUUUUAGGAUGGUCCACAUAAAGCAUAAGUGAAAGUUCCAAGUACAUUCUUAAUAAGUAUACCCUCUAUUAUUGAUAGUUCUUUAUGUUCCUACAUAACAACCAGGAUAAUUCAUCACUCUUUAUAUCAGUACUUAGCAGCUACAAACAAAAUAUUAAUGGAUAAUUGGUGUUCAUGCCUGGUUGUUGCCAUCUUAUUUCAUUGUUUUUUUCCAGGUACUUUCCAGACAUUACCCUCUUAUUCAGCUAUCCUUGUGACCUAAGCCACCCUGCUAUUUCCUGUUUCCUGUGUUCCUCUGCCCUCAAAUUGGAGGAGAGCUGAGUAAAUGUAACCCAAUCAGCUUCAAGCUUUCAGCCUCUCUAGUAAUAGUAUUUUAUGUUCUCUUCCUGUGUAGGGGGAUUAUUUGAUAAAACAAUGAAUUUGUUCUAACUGCCAUUAGCCCAUAGAAACACGUUCAAUAUUCAUACAUGGUAAAACAGAUUGUAAAGUCAAAAGUAUGUUUUGGGGGGGGCGCUAGUGACAAACCCAUGGAGUAGGCCAAUUGUAUUUAUUUAAUAGUUUCUUUGUGCUUUGACCCGCUAAAGAACUAGAAAACGCAGCCUUUGAAUGACGUGCGUUACUUUGCCCAACUUUUAUUUUACUUUUACUUUUCCUACCCGGCUCUGUGUAACAUACACUGGCAUCGAAGGCUAUGGCCGUCCUAAAGGAGAACAUUCUACCGUGGUCAGAUGAAGCAAAUGGCUGAAUGUUCACCUAUUUGGCAAUUAGGGUAAUGGACGGAUGUGUUUACCUCUGCAGACUCAGUCUCUCUUUUGUAGAUACUGUAUAGUGUUGCCAGUGGUGUCAGUUGAUAUUGUUAUUAUUAGGCAACGUUAGUGCCUUAGUUCUGGUGAGCUAAUUGUCCUUUUGUUUUAAUGUUUCAUUUUAUUACCAUGAAGCUGCUCGUUUCUAUUUUUCUCGACGGUACUCGUAUCCAGGGUAGAUAAAGCACAGUUCUAUUAUUAGGUCACGUAAUUUCAUUAAAGACGUUGCUGAUAACUUUGUGGUAUUGCUGUAAGAUGUGAUUUAUAAAAUGUUUUAUUCUUUCUUUUAAAACAGCCUAGUUUUGGGUUGUAAAUAAGUAUUUCUUAUUUAUUUAUUUUUGCGCAACUUGUUUUAAAUCUUUCACUAUUUCAGUGGGGCUCUCUACCCGAUAGGUUUAAAGUUCCCCACCACAAACACAUUAGGUGUGGAUAUCUUUUCACUACUGCCGUUUUAAAGGAGGGUGGAUCGGCCAAUCAUAUAAUUAAAAUUUUCAUUCUAAAAUUAGAGGAGCAGCCAUUUUAAUUAGUUAAAAAAUACCGUUCCAAAUGUCAAGUGUAGAGUCAGACUCAGCAGGCCGUGUCAUUAUUCUAGUAGGAAUACUGUAUAAUACACCUGGUAUCUUGGCUAACAUUUAUGCACCAAAUUGGGAUAACAUUUCAUUCUUCACAAAUGUAUUGGACACACACCACCGAAUACUUCACAGAUAUGGACACACACCGCCAAAUACUUCACAGAUAUGGACACACACCGCCAAAUACUUCACAGAUAUGGACACACACCACCAAAUACUUCACAGAUAUGGACACACACCACCGAAUACUUCACAGAUAUGGACACACACCGCCAAAUACUUCACAGAUAUGGACACACACCGCCAAAUACUUGGUGGCGAUAUGAUGUGUGUACUGUCGCCCAGUCUGGAUCGUAGCUCUUCUAAGGUAUCAUCAUCAUCAAACACAGUAAACACAAUUCAGCUAUUUCUUAAGACAUAUGGCAUAUCUGAUGCGUGGGGUUUCUGCAAUCCCACAGCUUAGGGAGUAUUAUUUUUUCUCACCAGUUCAUAAGACCUUCUCACGUAUAGAGUACUUUUUCCUAGACAAUACUUUUCUGCCACUUAUCACGGAGUGUGAUUACCAAGUCAUUUCGGAUCCUUCUCCUCUUACUAUGAAACUACUUCUACCAAAUACACAUUCUAAUUAUCGCCCUUGACAGCUUAACUCACUACUGCUAUCAGUGGAAACCUUAUAUGCUUUUCUAUCAUGUCAGUUGAGCUAUUUCUCGAGCUUAAUCAAACCCCUAGAAUGUCUCCUACGGCAGAAUGGGAAUCAACGAAGGCUUAUCUAAGGGGCCAAAUUAUUUAGUACAGCGCAGGAUUAAGGAAGUGCAAUGUUCAACGCCUAGGGGAACCUACAAAUAAAAUCUUGGAAUUUGGAUAUGACAUAUUCACACUAUUCAUCCGUAGAUUUACGAAAAACAACAUUUGACACUUCAGACAGAGUUUGAUCUUCUUUCAACUCGACAAAGCUGAAAAUCAAAUUAAUAAAUCUCGACACAAAAAUUAUGAACAUGGAGAGAAAUCAGGGAAAUUGCAAGCACACCAGCUGCGUCAGAGAACCUCAAAUCAAACCAAACCUGAGAUAACUGACGAGCUGGGUAUCAAAUGUAUUGAUCAUUUAGAGAUCAUAACAUUUACUCACAGUUAUACACUUCGGAAUCCGCUGGUAAUGCUACCUUACUCGACACCCUCUUUGAGAAC
Molecule: long non-coding RNA, 4514 nt
Organism: Oncorhynchus tshawytscha (Chinook salmon)
Lineage: Eukaryota; Metazoa; Chordata; Actinopteri; Salmoniformes; Salmonidae
Exons: 8
Source: RefSeq, a predicted model, not a curated record